GUAAGCGAAACAGACCUCCAUAUUGCUACCAUGGUGCCACCUUGGCACAGGCAUAAUCGGGCAUCACAAACACAAGACGGGGCAGAAAAAAGGAAAACGUGAAAAACAUCAAAGUACAGCAGAACAGAGAAGUAAGAUGGCAGCACAUAGGAGGAUGACUCAGAUGUAGAGCGAUGAAGAAGACAGAAGGAUGUUAAAGAGGAAAAUGGAUGGUGCUGUACAACUACCCAUGGCGCAGCGUGCCAGCCAGCGGGCACCAUGCCAGUUUGUACUCAAGGCAUACCCGAAGCAAUCAAACCAGGUGCCGGAGGACUGUUGUAGUCAAAGACAAGAGGACUCACCUCUGAGGAUUUGCUUCUAAUCACCAUUUGCUCGGACAAAGCCAAGAAGACAUGCCCAGGCAACGGUUGCCAACGGGUUGCGAUGGCAUCUUUUUGCGGGCAACAAGGGCACCGGGACAAAGAUGGCAUACUGCCAAGCCAACAUAAUGCACACAUUUGUAAACAGAAACAUCCAUACGGUGAGCAGAACAUUUCGGAAGCCUUGAAUUUUUAUGGCGAAGAUAUCCCCUCAAGGGAGAAUCUAAAAACAGAGAUGGCAUCAUGCCAAAUGCAAGCUGCGGGGUAUUUGCAGGUGCCAUCUAAAGCGGUUCAAAAAUGCAGUAAAUAGCAGCACAAAACAGAAGUAAAAGGUUAAAAUUACACCCACAAAUGCAGCUGUUGUGGGUGUAUGAGACAAAAGCCAUUUCCUUGAUGCCAACUCUGUUCUGUGCCAACUGCUGUGGUGAACGAAAGCUGUUGCCCAUUACAAAGAAGAAGGAAGAGGGAUUGUACCAUUUUACCACGGAGAGGAAGAGAAUUGAGAGGAAGCAAGAUAACAAGCUAAAUGACUAAAGGAUACAUAAGAAGAAAAUGAGGAAUUUUGUGCUUAACGAAGAACAGAGGGAGUGGGAGGACAGUAAUGAUGAAGAGCUUCUUUCCUGGACUUGCACACCUGGGAUGUUCUUAAAGGGAUAUCCCUUCAGACGUCUAUGUGUGUUAAAGGGAGGGAUGUGUUGGCAUCAUCUCCAGGGUGUCAAGCUGUGUUUCUCCAUUGCCAGUCAGGAAGGGUGUUGCAGUCGUCAGGGGCGGGCAACUGUCUGGGCAUCUCAUCUGCAGCUAAUUAACAGCCACACACAAAUUCUAACAGCCGAUCAUAAUUAGCGAUUUAAUCGCUCGUCAACGCUUUUCUCCCCCCCUAAAUUGUGCCUUCUAUUUGGACACGUGCGGAUAAGCUGAGGAACGUGGAUUCCCCCCUCCCCGCUUCCUCGUCCUUCUUUCCUUCAUCCUUGGCUCCAGACUCCAGUGGGAUCUUAAUUAAGCCUGGGCUUCAUUAUGCAAAUGGAGUACAAUAAACGACAGCGGAGGUGGAGCUGGAUACAGACUAAAACGGAGCGGUGGGAGGGGAGCAGUGGAAGUGGAAAAUGAGAUGUGGAAGGCAACCAAAAUCUUCUGAAUGAUGUUACUGCAUCACAGUAAUUAUAUGUUGUUCUAACAGGAAUGUCUUCAGCGUGCUGAUAAAACAUGUUGUGUAAGAACCAACAUCUCGGACUCUGAUGCUCCCCAUCUGCUGCCACUGGGAAAACUUCUCUAAAAUAAUACUGGAUAUUCAGAAUGUCAUCCCUCACAAAGAAAAUUCAUAAGGGAAUGGUGACAAUGAACCCCUUAAUAUCACCAGUUGGCUGUUGUCGUGGAUACGGAGAAAGAUAGUGGAGAUAGGGGAAAAGAAAAGAGGCAUACAGAAGCACUGACAGUGGCAGCAGCAUGGCAGCUAAUGUCAUCUCAGUUUAAUCAUUGCAUGGGAUCAUGGGGUUCAUGGAAAUUCAUUUGCAUAUCAUUAAAUAGAGAGAGGUUAUUUGGUGUGGGUCGGCGAAAUGGGAUUGGAUGAAGGGAGGAAAAAAAAGUAAAAUGGAGGGGCUCGUUAUUAAACAGCAAUGUUUUAUAGUCUGCCAGCCGAUUCAUUUAAUUUGGGCGUAAUUAAAAUAUGUCAGACUCAAUCAAUCAUGCCAACAGGGAUACUAUCAAUGUAUCAGUCUGAGAAAAGACUAAUCAGUGGAUAUGGAGUUGGACAUUUUCCAAUAACAGUCAAUAACAGACUGCUUUGGUCCCUCAUGAGUUUGACCAGUCUCCUUUUUUCUGAAAAAGUUGAAGCCAUUCAUCAAAACAUUCACUGUAACUUCUACAUACUGUGUCAAAACAUAUUUCUGACAAGUGGUGAUAUCGCCCUGUGAUUGUCAACAAGAUAGUGUGCCUCAUGCUGUCUUUUUGACCUCAGUUAGAAGCUCUCUGUAGUGUGUAUGUAUGCUCAUGCCUGUGUCUAUUGCUUAUUUGCAUAAGUGAUGUAAUUAGACUGCCUUUUCUCAUGCAGAUCAGUUUGACAACAUGGCAAUCAUUCAUACACGUAUACACACUCGUAUACAAACGGCAGCACACGCUUACUGCCGUGACCACCCCCAUAUCAUGGAGAGUCUGUUGUCUGUGAGCAGAGAGUGUAAAGAUUAACAUAAUCCAGCUAAUAAGUGUGAGUAAUAUUCACACUGUGACGCGUGGCAUAGACACUCUCCUGCUGAUGCGUAUUUGUAUCUCAUUAUAGAUGUAAAGUACUGUGGCCGCCAGUGGGCUGAAGGGAGGGAAGUGGGGGACAGUGUGACAAGGGAGGUUUGGUGGUGAGGGGGUCACAAAGUGUCGGCCUGAACAAUAAAUAUCACAAAGUUAUCCUAUACACCAUUUCAUGAAGAAAUCAGCAUUAUACCGACAGAUUACAUAAGACACCUUAUAACCAGGAUACUGGGGAUUAGUGAAGGAAGACUUUAUUAACGCCUCUGCAAAAUCAGAAAAACAAUGCUACCAGUAUUCUUAUUGUACAGCCCUGAAAGGGUACAGUGUCAGUUUUUGCAGC
Melanotaenia boesemani (Boeseman's rainbowfish) is the source of this 2937-nucleotide long non-coding RNA. RefSeq lists it as uncharacterized. Lineage: Eukaryota; Metazoa; Chordata; Actinopteri; Atheriniformes; Melanotaeniidae. The record is from RefSeq and is a predicted model, not a curated record. The transcript has 2 exons.